CCCGCUGAACUUAAGCAUAUCAAUAAGCGGAGGAGAAGAAACUAACAAGGAUUCCCCUAGUAACUGCGAGUGAAGCGGGAAAAGCUCAAAUUUAAAAUCUGGUGGUCUUUGGCCAUCCGAGUUGUAAUUUAGAGAAGCGUCUUCCGCGCUGGACCAUGCAUAAGUCUCCUGGAAUGGAGCGUCAUAGAGGGUGAGAAUCCCGUCUUUGGCAUGGACCCCCAGGGCUUCUGUGAUGCGCUCUCAAAGAGUCGAGUUGUUUGGGAAUGCAGCUCAAAAUGGGGUGGUGAACUCCAUCUAAAGCUAAAUAUUGGCGAGAGACCGAUAGCGAACAAGUACCGUGAGGGAAAGAUGAAAAAGCACCUUGGGAAGAGAGUGAAACAGUACGUGAAAUUGUGAAAAGGGAAACGCUUGAAGUCAGUCGCGUCGACCGAGACUCAGCCUCGCCUUGGCUUGGUGUACUUCUCGGCUGACGGGUCAGCAUCAAUUUCGAUCCUUGGAUAAUGGCAAGGGAAAGGUAGCACCUUUACAGGUGUGUUAUAGUCCUUUGUCGGAUGCAAGGGUUGGGAUUGAGGAACUCAGCACGCACCUCAUCGGUGUCGGGGCCUUUUGGCCUACGUUACGUGCUUAGGAUGCUGGCAUAAUGGCUUUAAACGACCCGUCUUGAAACACGG
RNAcentral lists this ribosomal RNA (671 nucleotides) under uncultured fungus. RNAcentral's name for it is "eukaryotic LSU rRNA". It matches the Rfam family "Eukaryotic large subunit ribosomal RNA", at positions 24 to 664 of the family's 3401-position model. The record is from RNAcentral. Lineage: Eukaryota; Fungi.